RNAcentral lists this unclassified non-coding RNA (158 nucleotides) under uncultured fungus. RNAcentral describes it as "sequence contains ITS1, 5.8S rRNA gene". The record is from RNAcentral. RNAcentral also lists the same sequence under 1 other name. Lineage: Eukaryota; Fungi.
CUGAGUUCAUGCCCUAACGGGUAGAUCUCCCACCCUUGAAUAUAUAAACCUUUGUUGCUUUGGCGGGCCGCUUCGGCUACCGGCUUCGGCUGGUGAGUGCCCGCCAGAGAACCCAAAACUCUGAAUUACAGUGUCGUCUGAGUACUAUAAAAUAGUUA